AACUUUCGGCAAUGGAUCUCUUGGUUCUGGCAUCGAUGAAGAACGCAGCGAAAUGCGAUAAGUAAUGUGAAUUGCAGAAUUCAGUGAACCAUCGAAUCUUUGAACGCACAUUGCGCCCGGCAGUAAUCUGCCGGGCAUGCCUGUCCGAGCGUCAUUUCUGCCCUCGAGCGCUGCUGGCUUGCCAGCAGCUGCCCGGUGUUGGGGCGCUACGGUUCAGGGCCUCGUGCCCUGUCCGUAGGCCCCGAAAUGAAGUGGCGGUCCCGCCGCGGCGCCCCCUGCGUAGUAGUAUUUCAACUCGCAUCGGGACCCGGUGGUGACCAGCCGUCAAACCCAACUUUCUAAUAGUUUGACCUCGGAUCAGGUAGGGUUACCCGCUGAACUUAAGCAUAUCAAUAAGCGGAGGCU
This 405-nucleotide unclassified non-coding RNA is filed under the name uncultured Kernia. RNAcentral's name for it is "sequence contains ITS2". The stretch from base 1 to 154 matches the Rfam family "5.8S ribosomal RNA". Lineage: Eukaryota; Fungi; Ascomycota; Sordariomycetes; Microascales; Microascaceae. The record is from RNAcentral.